Molecule: ribosomal RNA, 433 nt
Filed under: uncultured bacterium
Lineage: Bacteria
Description: partial 16S ribosomal RNA
Rfam family: Bacterial small subunit ribosomal RNA
Source: RNAcentral
AACGAACGCUGGCGGCAUGCCUAACACAUGCAAGUCGAACGAGACCUUCGGGUCUAGUGGCGCACGGGUGCGUAACGCGUGGGAACCUGCCCUUAGGUUCGGAAUAACUCCCCGAAAGGGGUGCUAAUACCGGAUAAUGUCUUCGGACCAAAGAUUUAUCGCCUUUGGAUGGGCCCGCGUUGGAUUAGCUAGUUGGUAGGGUAAAAGCCUACCAAGGCGACGAUCCAUAGCUGGUCUGAGAGGAUGAUCAGCCACACUGGGACUGAGACACGGCCCAGACUCCUACGGGACGCAGCAGUAGCGAAUAUUGGACAAUGAGCGAGAGGCUCAUCAAGCAAUGCCGCGUGAGUGAUGAAGGCCUUAGGGUUGUAAAGCUCUUUUACCCGGGAUGAUAAUGACAGUACCGGGAGAAUAAGCUCCGGCUAAUUCCGUG